UACGAAGGGGGCUAGCGUUGCUCGGAAUCACUGGGCGUAAAGCGCACGUAGGCGGCUUGUUAAGUCAGGGGUGAAAUCCUGGAGCUCAACUCCAGAACUGCCUUUGAUACUGGCGAGCUUGAGUCCGGGAGAGGUGAGUGGAACUGCGAGUGUAGAGGUGAAAUUCGUAGAUAUUCGCAAGAACACCAAUGGCGAAGGCAGCUCGCUGGGACGUUACUGACGCUGAGACGCGAAAGCGUGGGGAGCAAACAGG
Molecule: ribosomal RNA, 253 nt
Filed under: uncultured bacterium
Lineage: Bacteria
Description: partial 16S ribosomal RNA
Rfam family: Bacterial small subunit ribosomal RNA
Source: RNAcentral